This 253-nucleotide ribosomal RNA is filed under the name uncultured bacterium. RNAcentral describes it as "partial 16S ribosomal RNA". It matches the Rfam family "Bacterial small subunit ribosomal RNA", at positions 524 to 776 of the family's 1533-position model. The record is from RNAcentral.
UACAGGGGGUGCAAGCGUUGCUCGGAAUCACUGGGCGUAAAGGGCGCGUAGGCGGCUUAUCAAGUCGGGGGUGAAAGCCCGUGGCUCAACCACGGAAUGGCCUUCGAUACUGGUAGGCUUGAGACCGGAAGAGGACAGCGGAACUGCGAGUGUAGAGGUGAAAUUCGUAGAUAUUCGCAAGAACACCAGUGGCGAAGGCGGCUGUCUGGUCCGGUUCUGACGCUGAGGCGCGAAAGCGUGGGGAGCAAACAGG